AUUAAACGCUGGCGGCAUGCCUUACACAUGCAAGUCGAACGGCAGCACGGGGGCAACCCUGGUGGCGAGUGGCGGACGGGUGAGUAAUGCAUCGGAACGUGCCCUGAAGUGGGGGGAUAACGCAGCGAAAGCUACGCUAAUACCGCAUAUUCUGUGAGCAGGAAAGCAGGGGAUCGCAAGACCUUGCGCUUUGGGAGCGGCCGAUGUCGGAUUAGCUAGUUGGUGGGGUAAAGGCCUACCAAGGCGACGAUCCGUAGCGGGUCUGAGAGGAUGAUCCGCCACACUGGGACUGAGACACGGCCCAGACUCCUACGGGAGGCAGCAGUGGGGAAUUUUGGACAAUGGGGGGCAACCCGUGAUCCAGCCAUUCCGCGUGAGUGAAGAAGGCCUCGGUUGUAAGACGUCUUUCUAGCAGGAACGGAAACGGUAGGCCGA
This 435-nucleotide ribosomal RNA is filed under the name uncultured bacterium. RNAcentral's name for it is "bacterial SSU rRNA". It matches the Rfam family "Bacterial small subunit ribosomal RNA", at positions 29 to 468 of the family's 1533-position model. The record is from RNAcentral.